Astyanax mexicanus (Mexican tetra) is the source of this 378-nucleotide non-coding RNA. The record is from the annotation of a RefSeq genome assembly. NCBI's taxonomy places the organism in Eukaryota, Metazoa, Chordata, Actinopteri, Characiformes, Acestrorhamphidae.
AGAAGAGCAUCUUCAUUCAGGUGAACAAUGAUCUCCUCAGUGUUGCUGCUGCUGAUCAUAACAGCAGUAUAUGGUGGUGUAGACUGUCUGGAACUCACUCAGCCCGGCUCUUUGGUUGUUAAACCUGGAGAAUCGUUCUCCAUCUCCUGUAAAAUUUCACAAUCAAGCUACUGUAUACACUGGAUCCGGCAGCCUGCUGGGAAAGCUCCGGAAUGGCUGGGAUAUCUGUGUAAUGAUGAUAGGACUAAUAUUAAAGACUCAGUGAAGAGCAAGAUCAGCCUCAGUCAGGACACUUCCAUCAACACAGUGUAUUUACGAGGCCAGAACUCUCAGACUGAGGACACAGCUGUGUAUUACUGCGCCACACACACACAAUGA